CAAUGUGCUGGGACAUCUGGGCACGGUCAGACCUGGCUCCUGGGUCUCUCCAUGCUGUAGCCACCCUGCACACCCCUUCCUCCAUACACCCUAGCACAGGGAGAGGGCGAUAUGACCUGGGAGGCCCUACACCUGUGGCUGGUCCUGCUGCUGCUGGCCUCAGGCUCCUGGGUGCAGAGCCAGAAGGAUGAGUUGGUGUGGGCCAUACAGGACCAGGUACUCUCUGUGAAAUGCCCAUCCGCCCCCCUGCUAGCCUGCCUGACAGCACUUUCGUGGUGCUGUUGUGUGGACUCCUCGUGACCAAGAUCAUGGCUUUGACAGCCCUCCUCCUGUUUCUGACCUACAGAGCCCAGGU
Long non-coding RNA from Leopardus geoffroyi (Geoffroy's cat), 355 nucleotides. RefSeq lists it as uncharacterized. Lineage: Eukaryota; Metazoa; Chordata; Mammalia; Carnivora; Felidae. The transcript has 3 exons. The record is from RefSeq and is a predicted model, not a curated record.